This 459-nucleotide ribosomal RNA is filed under the name uncultured bacterium. RNAcentral describes it as "partial 16S ribosomal RNA". It matches the Rfam family "Bacterial small subunit ribosomal RNA", at positions 338 to 795 of the family's 1533-position model. The record is from RNAcentral.
CCUACGGGUGGCAGCAGUGAGGAAUAUUGGUCAAUGGGCGAGAGCCUGAACCAGCCAAGUCGCGUGAAGGAUGAAGGAUCUAUGGUUUGUAAACUUCUUUUAUAUGGGAAUAAAGUGAGGAACGUGUUCCUUUUUGUAUGUACCAUAUGAAUAAGCAUCGGCUAACUCCGUGCCAGCAGCCGCGGUAAUACGGAGGAUGCGAGCGUUAUCCGGAUUUAUUGGGUUUAAAGGGUGCGUAGGCGGAUCGUUAAGUCAGUGGUCAAAUUGAGGGGCUCAACCCCUUCCCGCCAUUGAAACUGGCUGUCUUGAGAUGUCGAGAGGUAUGCGGAAUGCGCAGUGUAGCGGUGAAAUGCUUAGAUAUUGUGCAGAACUCCGAUUGCGAAGGCAGCAUACCGGCGGCGAUCUGACGCUGAGGCACGAAAGCGUGGGUAUCGAACAGGAUUAGAUACCCCAGUAGUC